Molecule: ribosomal RNA, 292 nt
Filed under: uncultured bacterium
Lineage: Bacteria
Description: partial 16S ribosomal RNA
Rfam family: Bacterial small subunit ribosomal RNA
Source: RNAcentral
GUGCCAGCAGCCGCGGUAAUACGUAGGGUCCAAGCGUUAUCCGGAAUCACUGGGCGUAAAGCGUGCGUAGGUGGCGUGUUAAGUGUGAUGUUAAAUCGUGUGGCUCAACCAUAUCGAUGUGUCGCAUACUGGCAUGCUAGAGGGAAGCAGAGGCAAGUGGAAUUUGUAGUGUAGCAGUGAAAUGCGUAGAUAUUACAAGGAACACCAAUGGCGAAGGCAGCUUGCUGGGCUUCUUCUGACACUGAGGUACGAAAGCGUGGGGAGCGAACAGGAUUAGAAACCCCCGUAGUCC